GAUCAAACUAUCAAUCUCAUAAGAGAAGAAAUCUCUAUGCCCCCUUUUUCUUGGUUUUCUCCCAUGCUUUUGCUGGUCAACAACCAACCACAACUUUCUAUAGUUCUUCACUACUCUUAGAGGCUUGACGGAGUGAAGCUGUCUGGAGGGAAUCAUUUUGUUGAAAUNNNNNNNNNNGACGGAGUGAAGCUGUCUGGAGGGAAUCAUUUUGUUGAAAUCAAUUAAUCUAAUCAUGCCUCAACUGGAUAAAUUCACUUAUUUUUCACAAUUCUUCUGGUUAUGCCUUUUCUUCUUUACUUUCUAUAUUUUCAUAUGNN
Molecule: long non-coding RNA, 317 nt
Filed under: Capsella grandiflora
Lineage: Eukaryota; Viridiplantae; Streptophyta; Magnoliopsida; Brassicales; Brassicaceae
Description: long non-coding RNA (CGRA_LNC000860)
Source: RNAcentral